CACUACCAUGUCGACUCACGCAAAGAAGCUCAUCUCAUCUUUCCUCAUUCUCUCCUUUCUCCUGCAGGUGUUUGUGGAAGCAUCUUUGGAUAUUGUGGACGGAUACGGAUAAGUAGCAGCUCUUUAACACAAAAGUCAUAAAUCCAAGAUCAGUAUGCCUUAUUUUCC
This is a long non-coding RNA of Magnolia sinica, 168 nucleotides long. RefSeq lists it as uncharacterized. The transcript has 3 exons. The record is from RefSeq and is a predicted model, not a curated record. NCBI's taxonomy places the organism in Eukaryota, Viridiplantae, Streptophyta, Magnoliopsida, Magnoliales, Magnoliaceae.